This is a long non-coding RNA of Apis dorsata (giant honeybee), 249 nucleotides long. RefSeq lists it as uncharacterized. The transcript is spliced from 2 exons. Lineage: Eukaryota; Metazoa; Arthropoda; Insecta; Hymenoptera; Apidae. The record is from RefSeq and is a predicted model, not a curated record.
GAACUAGCUUACCAGCAGUGAUCUUAAUCACCAUGCUGGAUCUUAAAAUGAUCUGUAUUAAAUUCAAUAUAUCUUUUCCCGGUAUUUGCAGUAAAAAUAUCUUACCUGUUCGGCAACCAGAUCACCUAUAUAACAAAAUAUAAAAAUGUUGAAGGUGAACGAUAUGAGUAAUGAUAUGUAAGUUAACGAAAGUGAUAUUUCUUUCGGAUUCCAUUCCUAUAAAAUCAAUAAAAUUUGGUUUAGUGUGUC